GAGCCUAAGUCAGAUUAGCUAGUUGGUGGGGUAAAGGCCUACCAAGGCGACGAUCUGUAGCGGGUCUGAGAGGAUGAUCCGCCACACUGGGACUGAGACACGGCCCAGACUCCUACGGGAGGCAGCAGUGGGGAAUAUUGGACAAUGGGCGAAAGCCUGAUCCAGCCAUGCCGCGUGUGUGAAGAAGGCCUUUUGGUUGUAAAGCACUUUAAGCGAGGAGGAGGCUACUUAGAUUAAUACUCUAGGAUAGUGGACGUUACUCGCAGAAUAAGCACCGGCUAACUCUGUGCCAGCAGCCGCGGUAAUACAGAGGGUGCGAGCGUUAAUCGGAUUUACUGGGCGUAAAGCGUGCGUAGGCGGCUUUUUAAGUCGGAUGUGAAAUCCCUGAGCUUAACUUAGGAAUUGCAUUCGAUACUGGGAAGCUAGAGUAUGGGAGAGGAUGGUAGAAUUCCAGGUGUAGCGGUGAAAUGCGUAGAGAUCUGGAGGAAUACCGAUGGCGAAGGCAGCCAUCUGGCCUAAUACUGACGCUGAGGUACGAAAGCAUGGGGAGCAAACAGGAUUAGAUACCCUGGUAGUCCAUGCCGUAAACGAUGUCUACUAGCCGUUGGGGCCUUU
RNAcentral lists this ribosomal RNA (615 nucleotides) under Acinetobacter johnsonii. RNAcentral's name for it is "bacterial SSU rRNA". It matches the Rfam family "Bacterial small subunit ribosomal RNA", at positions 227 to 833 of the family's 1533-position model. Lineage: Bacteria; Pseudomonadati; Pseudomonadota; Gammaproteobacteria; Moraxellales; Moraxellaceae. The record is from RNAcentral.